AGGGUUGUGGCUCAGUAGUAGAGCACUUGCCUAGCAUGCAUGAGGCACUGGGUUCGAUCCCUGGCACCACAU
Molecule: transfer RNA, 72 nt
Filed under: Urocitellus parryii (Arctic ground squirrel)
Lineage: Eukaryota; Metazoa; Chordata; Mammalia; Rodentia; Sciuridae
Also listed under: 1 other name
Description: Spermophilus parryii (Arctic ground squirrel) tRNA
Rfam family: tRNA
About the family: Transfer RNA (tRNA) molecules are approximately 80 nucleotides in length. Their secondary structure includes four short double-helical elements and three loops (D, anti-codon, and T loops). Further hydrogen bonds mediate the characteristic L-shaped molecular structure. tRNAs have two regions of fundamental functional importance: the anti-codon, which is responsible for specific mRNA codon recognition, and the 3' end, to which the tRNAs corresponding amino acid is attached (by aminoacyl-tRNA synthetases). tRNAs cope with the degeneracy of the genetic code in two manners: having more than one tRNA (with a specific anti-codon) for a particular amino acid; and 'wobble' base-pairing, i.e. permitting non-standard base-pairing at the 3rd anti-codon position.
Source: Rfam by way of RNAcentral